GCUUGCUAUGAUUGAACUUAAAGAAAAACAGACGAAUCUGAGGAUCAGAGGCCUACCUGAAAUUGAGAAGGAAAGUUUGAUAGACUUUCUUACACAGGAAUUUGCUAACUUUUGGGACUUGGACUUGGGACAAGAAGAGUUUAGAAUUGUGAGGGCCUUCAGACUUGGAAGAGGAGGGAAAAAAGAGAAGAAUACAAUAAGAGACUGUUUGAUUACCCUUCGAACUAAAGAAGAGAGAGACAGAAUUUUGGGUUGGCACUACCAGAAGAACCUAGAAGUACAACAGUCAAGAGUGGUAAUUUUUAAAGACGUCCCGAAAUAUCUUUUGGAUCUUAGGCCUGAUUACGGAGAUAUUGUUGCCUUGCUGAGAAAGAAUAAAAUUAUCUUUAGGUGGGAGUUUCCCCAAGGUUUAUCUUUCAGUUUCAAAGGUAGGAAAAUAAAAAUAAGAUCAGUAGAGGAUAAAGCGAAGUUUCUGUAUAAAUACAAAGAAGAUCUGCAGAAGGGAUUUGGAAAAGAGCCAAGAGUACCGGACAGAAGAUCACCAGAUAGAGGACUAGAGCAGAGAGCAUUGAAUAGAAGAUCACCAAACAGGGGAAUAUUGGAUAUAUCAACACUGUCUUUUGGAUUGGACUCCCCAGUGAACGUGCCACCAUUACCACCAACAGAAGAAGAGCAAGCAUUGGGUGCAGUUGGAGGAACAUCAGCGUAAUUACAUGAUGGCGUUGCAGGUCUUGAGCUGGAAUGUGAAUGGACUGAAUUCCCCAGAAAAAAGGCGGAGAGUAUUUCAUUUAUUGAAAAAAGAACAUUUGGACUUGAUUUGUUUACAAGAAACACAUAUGAUAAGGCUACACAGGAAGAUAUUGAGUAAUAAAAGAUUGGGCCAAGAAUUCAUUUCAUCAGACAAAGUUAAAAAAAGAGGAGUGGUCCUUUACGCAAAGGAGAGCCUAUCACCAAAAUUCUUAUUUAAAGAUGAUCAAGGAAGAUUUGUAGCAAUUGAAAUUCAAUCACAAGGAGAGAAAUUCUUGAUUCUAGGUAUUUAUGCACCAAACGAAGGAAAAUCGGAAUUCUUUAAGAAGUUACAUGAGACUCUGAUGGAUUAUAUGGACUAUAAUAUGAUUUUGAUGGGAGAUAUGAAUGGAGUGGUGUCUACAAAUAUGGACAAGGCACAGAGACAGGUAGUCACCAAAGAUGGUAGGCUACCAAAAACUUUUUUUGACAUGACUGAAAAUAUGGACUUAGUUGACAUUUGGAGUAUGAAGAACCCUCUGGGAAGAGAGGGAACUUUCUUCUCUGAGGCUAAAAUGACAUGGACAAGAAUUGACCAAAUCUGGGUAACCAGGGGAUUGGCUCCGAAGAUCAGCAAAGUGGAGAUUUGCCCCAAAACUUGUUCUGACCAUAAUGCGGUGAAGAUGGAAAUGAAAUUGACGCCAAUUGGUUCCUUUAGAUGGAGGAUGAAUGACACUUUGUUUAGGAAUGAAGAGGUGACCAAGAAGGCCCAAAAAACUCUAAGAGAUUACUUUGAGAUAAACAUGAAUACUACAGUGGAAAGAAGAGGAAUUUGGGAUGCAAGCAAAGCGGUUAUGAGAGGAUUCCUAAUACAACAGAACGCAAUUAAGAAGAGAACUCAGAAUG
Podarcis lilfordi (Lilford's wall lizard) is the source of this 1632-nucleotide non-coding RNA. NCBI's taxonomy places the organism in Eukaryota, Metazoa, Chordata, Lepidosauria, Squamata, Lacertidae. The record is from the annotation of a GenBank genome assembly.